This is a long non-coding RNA of Prinia subflava (tawny-flanked prinia), 1052 nucleotides long. RefSeq lists it as uncharacterized. The transcript is spliced from 4 exons. The record is from RefSeq and is a predicted model, not a curated record. NCBI's taxonomy places the organism in Eukaryota, Metazoa, Chordata, Aves, Passeriformes, Cisticolidae.
UGCAGGCUGCUGCUGAGUUGCACCAGUAGUUCUAUUCCCAGUUCCUGCAGGAGGGCUUUUCUGGGCAAACACGAUUCCAACAGUGCUCACCUUACCUGCAGCAGUGCAGAGGCCAAACGAGAACACUGAGUCAGUCCUCUCUUGGUUCCUAGGAUGGUUCUGGUGGCCCUUUGGUUUGCAGCAUGGGAAAUGGACCAUUCACACUUCCCAGCAUUGUCAGAUGGGGUGUUGGCUGUGCCAGCCCAGAGAAACCAGGGGUGUACUCAAGAGUGAGGAUUUUCCUGAACUGGAUGGGACUGCUGCAGAAAGGACAAACUUAUCAAUGCCUCAAAAAUUCCCAAGGAGAUGAGCUUGACAUGAGUGUCAUCCUUCCAGACUGGGAAGGAAUCAUGCAGUCACCCCUGUGAGACACAAAUGCCACCAGCUGCCACAGGAGACUUGUAGCCCCAUUAAAAUCAGUUAUUCCCCCUGAAGCCCUGAACUUUCUGGACUGAAAGAAAUCUGUCUAAUUGUCAUGGCCAACUGAUGGUGUGUGAAGGAUUUGGACUAACCAAAGAGUUACUAGGCAACUUCUGUGGUGACACUCCUGUCUAUCCCAUAGAAUCGUGAGGUUCAGCAGUGACAGUGACUUCCCUCAAAGGGUUGUGGCAGCCAUGAAAGGCGUUCUCUCAACUUGCUCUACUCACAAUACAUAAUCUGGUAAGUGUGUUAUGAUUUUGGGGUGAGGAUGGAGAAGUCGAGCUGUUCUAUUCAAAAAAAUUAAUCUGUCUGUUCUGAAGAGAAAAGGCCAUAGAAGAGAUCUAUUUGAGAUCUUGAGUGUUGAUGAUUGAAUGCAUAAGUAGUGGUCUAAUUACUGUACUCAUUUCCCAAAAACCUGUAAAAAUGAGAUACUGUCUUAGCUGUUGCUCUCUCUCUGUUCCUUUGCAUUCUGCUCUACAAAACCAGAACCUGUCCCCCCACUCCAUCUGUUAAUGCUUCUGUACUCUCUCUUCUGCUCCUUCCCCCAGUUAGGCACUAAUUCUGCCAGAUGCUGCUGUUAUCACUGCUCACCU